This 899-nucleotide ribosomal RNA is filed under the name uncultured bacterium. Its description in RNAcentral is "bacterial SSU rRNA". It matches the Rfam family "Bacterial small subunit ribosomal RNA", at positions 8 to 916 of the family's 1533-position model. The record is from RNAcentral.
AGAGUUUGAUCAUGGCUCAGGACGAACGCUGGCGGCGUGCUUAACACAUGCAAGUCGAGCGGAAAGGCCCCUUCGGGGGUACUCGAGCGGCGAACGGGUGAGUAACACGUGAGCAACCUGCCCCUGACUCUGGGAUAAGCCUGGGAAACCGGGUCUAAUACCGGAUACGACCAUUGCGGGCAUCCGUUGGUGGUGGAAAGUUUUUUCGGUCGGGGAUGGGCUCGCGGCCUAUCAGCUUGUUGGUGGGGUGACGGCCUACCAAGGCGACGACGGGUAACCGGCCUGAGAGGGCGACCGGUCACACUGGGACUGAGACACGGCCCAGACUCCUACGGGAGGCAGCAGUGGGGAAUAUUGCGCAAUGGGCGGAAGCCUGACGCAGCGACGCCGCGUGGGGGAUGACGGCCUUCGGGUUGUAAACCUCUUUCAGCGGGGACGAAGCCCUUUGGGGUGACGGUACCUGCAGAAGAAGCGCCGGCUAACUACGUGCCAGCAGCCGCGGUAAUACGUAGGGCGCGAGCGUUGUCCGGAAUUAUUGGGCGUAAAGAGCUCGUAGGCGGUUUGUCGCGUCGGAUGUGAAAGCCCAUGGCUUAACUGUGGGUCUGCAUUCGAUACGGGCAGACUAGAGGUAGGUAGGGGAGCAUGGAAUUCCCGGUGUAGCGGUGAAAUGCGCAGAUAUCGGGAGGAACACCGGUGGCGAAGGCGGUGCUCUGGGCCUUACCUGACGCUGAGGAGCGAAAGCGUGGGGAGCGAACAGGAUUAGAUACCCUGGUAGUCCACGCCGUAAACGUUGGGCGCUAGGUGUGGGGUUCUUCCACGGAUUCCGCGCCGUAGCUAACGCAUUAAGCGCCCCGCCUGGGGAGUACGGCCGCAAGGCUAAAACUCAAAUGAAUUGACGG